This 518-nucleotide ribosomal RNA is filed under the name Parepistaurus deses nairobii. RNAcentral's name for it is "partial 16S ribosomal RNA". It matches the Rfam family "Archaeal large subunit ribosomal RNA", at positions 1901 to 2670 of the family's 2987-position model. Lineage: Eukaryota; Metazoa; Arthropoda; Insecta; Orthoptera; Acrididae. The record is from RNAcentral.
AAAAACAUGUCUUCUUGAUUAUAUUUGGAAGUCUGUCCUGCUCACUGAUUAAAUUUUAAAGAGCCGCGGUAUUUUGACCGUGCAAAGGUAGCAUAAUCAUUAGCCUCUUAAUUAGAGGCUGGUAUGAAUGGUUUGACGAGAAAUUGACUGUCUCUUAAUAGAUAUUAAAAUUUAACUUUUAAGUCAAAAGGCUUAAAUUUUCCUCAUGGACGAGAAGACCCUAUAGAGCUUUACAUAUUAUUUUUAUAUAUUUUUUGGAUUUUCUUCUUAUAUAAAAUGUUGAUGUUUUGUUGGGGUGACAUGAAGAAUAAAUAAACUCUUCAUUAUAAAAUCAUUAAUUUAUGUUUUGUUGAUCCAUAAUUUAUGAUCAUAAGAUUAAGUUACCUUAGGGAUAACAGCGUAAUCAUUUUUGAGAGUUCUUAUCAACAAGAUGGAUUGCGACCUCGAUGUUGGAUUAAGAUAAAUUUUGGGUGCAGAAGCUCAUUAAUUAGGUCUGUUCGACCUUUAAAUUCUUACGU